AAUAUUUGACAAUGGGCGAAAGCCUGAUCCAGCCAUGCCGCGUGUGUGAAGAAGGNCUNNGGAUUNUNAAGCACUUUAAGUUGNNNNNAAGGGCAGUAAGUUAAUACCUUGCUGUUCUGACGUUACCGACAGAAUAAGCACCGGCUAACUUCGUGCCAGCAGCCGCGGUAAUACGAAGGGUGCAAGCGUUAAUCGGAAUUAAGUGGUGUAGAGCGCGCGUAGGUGGUUCGUUAAGUUGGAAGUGAAAGCCCCGGGCUUAACCUGGGAAUUGCUUUCAAAACUGACGAGCUAGAGUACGGUAGAGGGUAGUGGAAUUUCCUGUGUAGCGGUGAAAUGCGUAGAUAUAGGAAGGAACAUCAGUGGCGAAGGCGACUACCUGGACUGAUACUGACACUGAGGUGCGAAAGCGUGGGGAGCAAACAGG
RNAcentral lists this ribosomal RNA (424 nucleotides) under uncultured bacterium. RNAcentral describes it as "partial 16S ribosomal RNA". It matches the Rfam family "Bacterial small subunit ribosomal RNA", at positions 360 to 776 of the family's 1533-position model. The record is from RNAcentral.